UCCCGGGGUCCCUGGAUGUCCUCGUUUCCUGUCAGGAAGUUGUUGAACACAGUUCCCUGUUCCAAGAUCCCCCCCAUAAAACACACCAUGCUCUCCCGGAAGUGAGCCUUAGGACCUCAGGGAAUGACCUUAUUCUGCUGUGUGGCAAAUGUCCUGACAAUCCUCUUCAGACCGCCCACCGUGUCAUUGUGGUGACACAAAGGAAAAACUACAUGGCAGUGUUCACCAUGAAAGGAUGAUAUAAUGCAUGAAGCAAACAUGGAAUGGCUUUGUGAAAUAUGAAGGUGUAUAUGAAGGUGUGGACUCAGUGAAGAUGUAUAUGAAGGUGUGGACUCAGUGAAGAUGUCGAAUGAAGGUGUGGACUCAGUGAAGAUGUAUAUGAAGGUGUGGACUCAGUGAAGAUGUCGAAUGAAGGUGUGGACUCAGUGAAGAUGUAUAUGAAGGUGUGGACUCAGUGAAGAUGUCGAAUGAAGGUGUGGACUCAGUGAAGAUGUCGAAUGAAGGUGUGGACUCAGUGAAGAUGUCGAAUGAAGGUGUGGACUCAGUGAAGAUGUCGAAUGAAGGUGUGGACUCAGUGAAGAUGUCGAAUGAAGGUGUGGACUCAGUGAAGAUGUCGAAUGAAGGUGUAUUUUAUCCCUCUGUACCCUGGUGACAUUACAUGUAUCCUUUACAGUGCCAUUCUAUACCGUUGAAGUACAGCUCUAGGUCAUUGUACAUGCCCUAUGUAGGUCAUAUUGACUUCACCCACAACAAUUCAGAUGCUUUUGGAGCUGUAUAUGACUGAGGCCAACACAUCUUUCCCGGUCUGUUGCCUCGUGGAUGGGGACUGUCAGAAUUGGAGGCUGUUUUCCUAGCUUCUUGAAGACUAGAACUAGCUAGCUGGUAAAUGAGGCUUUUCCCCAAAGCCUGUUGGAAAAACCGCCCAAUACAUCCUCCUCUUGCACAAAGGAUCAAAAUGCUUCAACUGACUCCUAUUUCAUUAAAUCCCUAAGCUGGUUGUUACUAUGUUAAAGCCCUUUGUGAUUCAUUGAACA
This is a long non-coding RNA of Oncorhynchus kisutch (coho salmon), 1034 nucleotides long. RefSeq lists it as uncharacterized. Lineage: Eukaryota; Metazoa; Chordata; Actinopteri; Salmoniformes; Salmonidae. The transcript is spliced from 3 exons. The record is from RefSeq and is a predicted model, not a curated record.